CACUGCAGCUUAUGCUGCACUUCAUAAUAAGCUUAACAUUAUUAAUGACACCCAGAAGAAAAUGCGGCCCAUAACCAACAACACGGACUCCGACUUUGCAAUGGACACCACCGAGGUUUUUGUGGGCCUGCUUGUGACCUCCAUCACAGAUGUGAAUGAAAAAGCUCAGAGCAUCUCAACACAAGUAAUUAUUGGACUUGCUUGGUUCACAGAAAUGAAAUGGAACCAAACAGAAUUUUGUGACAUUGACAACUUUGCAACUCGAAAAGAUUUGUUGUGGACACCAGACAUUGUUGUUGUAGACAG
Long non-coding RNA from Paramisgurnus dabryanus, 306 nucleotides. RefSeq lists it as uncharacterized. The record is from RefSeq and is a predicted model, not a curated record. NCBI's taxonomy places the organism in Eukaryota, Metazoa, Chordata, Actinopteri, Cypriniformes, Cobitidae.